CUGCCUAGCGGCGUCAGCACACCAGGUUCUAGUCCUGGUCGGGGCGCCAGAUUCUGCCCCGGUUGCCCCUCUUCCAGUCCAGCUCUCUGCUAUGGCCAGGGAGUGCAGUGGAGGAUGGCCCAAGUGCUUGGGCCCUGCACCCCAUGGGAGACCAGGAUAAGCACCUGGCUCCUGCCAUCGGAUCAGCGCGGUGUGCAGGCAGCAGCACGCCAGCUGUGGCGGCCAUUGGAGGAUGAACCAACUGCAAAAGGAAGACCUUUCUCUCUGUCUCUCUCUCUCUCACUGUCCACUCUGCCUGUCAAAAAAAAAUAGUCCAAAGUCAUAAUUCAUUUAUCAGGCACUCUCUUUUUGUGAGGUACUAUUAAUUAGUUUCUCCAUGUUAACUGAUAAUGGUGAUAUUGGAGAUUAAUUUAUGAGUUAGUCUGGUUAUUGCUGAGUCGCAAGCUUCCUGAGCUACAUUAUAUUGCAUUUCUUUAGUACUGUCAUGUUCUUUUUCCAUUGAGUAUACUUUGGUAAAUUUGGGUUAUGCUGAGUUUCCUGAUUUAGGUUCAUAAAUUAUUAUUUUUUAAAGAUUUAUUUAUUGUACUGAAAGUCACAGUUAUACAGAGACAGGAGAGGCAGAGAGAGAGAGAGAAAGAGAGACAGAGAGAGCGAGAGAGAGAGAGGUCUUCCAUCCACUGCUUCACUCCCCAGAAGGCUGCAACAGCCAGAGCUGAGCUGAUCUGAAGCCAGGAGCCAGGAGCCAGGAGCCUCCUCUGGGCCUCCCACAGGGGUGCAGGGGCCCAAGGAAUUGGGCCAUCUUCUACUGCUUUCCCAUAGGCCCAUAAAUUAUUAACUGGAGUGCUGGAGAUAUUACCUAAGCCCUGAUUUUUUAUUAUUUGUUUAUUACACUUGAGAUAAACCCACUUUACUAUGAAGUUAAAUGAUACUGUGAAGACAUCAUUUCCUACUAUGUGUUUAAGACAUGAUAAACACUUAAGUGGGCCAGUGCCGUGGCUCACUAGGCUAAUCCUCCGGGCUGACACACAGGUUCUAGUCCCGGUCGGAGCGCCGGAUUCUGUCCCGGUUGCCCCUUUUCCAGGCCAGCUCUCUGCUAUGGCCCGGGAGUGCAGUGAAGGAUGGCCCAAGUGCUUGGGCCCUGCACCCCAUGGGAGACCAGGAUAAGCACCUGGCUCCUGCCUUUGGAUCAGCGCGGUGCGCCAGUCACAGUGCACCGGCUGCGGUGGCCAUUGGAAGGUGAACCAAUGGCAAAAGGAAGACCUUUCUCUCUGUCUCUCUCUCUCUCUCACUGUCCACUCUGCCUGUCAAAAAAACAAAAAACAAAAAACAAAACACUUAAGUAAUGACUUAUACGUCUUUUUUUUAUUUAAAAACUACUGACUUUUUCAUUUUAUCUAUUUGAAAGGCAGAAUGAUGAUAGAUAGAUAGAUACAUAGAUAGAUCGCUCUAAACCAUUCAGUUGUCACUUGUUUUUUACUCUAAAAUAAGUCACCGUCUAUAACAUUCCAAAAAUUACAUAAAGCUAAUAGAAAAAUUCCAGUAAUUUAAACUUUUCUUUAAUUCCUUGAAGUGGCUUGAUAUAUGAAUUGUAUUGUUAGUUAUCUCUAUACCUUGAUUUUACUGUCUGUAAGAAGAUGACAAUACCAGGAAGCUCUCUCUACCUCAUACAAUUUUGAAUUAGCCAGCUGAAGGAAUGCAUACAUCAUCCCAUGUCAUGCUUUAUAAAGCAUGAAGUUAGGAUAAUGAGGUGGUGAGAGCAUGAGCUUGGAGGUCAAACCUGUCUGGGUCCCCUGGCUGCCCUGCCAUUUAAUAACUGUGUGCCACUGAACACUGUGUAACUGCUCUGCAUUUCAGAUUCGUCAUCAGGAAAUAUCAUGCUAAUGAAUAACUCCAGAGAUGUCUGUGUGGAUUAGGCCAGACAAUGCAGAUAAAGUCCUUGGCACGGAGUGCAGAGUGGCGCACAAAGUCUCUUUGAAGUACCCUUGUAUCUUGUCCUGUACUCACUCAUCUUUCUUAACUAUGUGAAGUGAUACAACGUCUAGAUGACAAGAUGAAAUGUCAGCAUACAUCUGAGAGCUUAAAAUACACACCUACAUUAUCUUAUGAUCUCUGUAGCACAGGAGUCCAGCAUCUCUUGGCUGGGUCCUCUGCUUCUGAGUCUCUUACUAAAUUGCUGUUGUUCAGAGCUGGAAUCUCCUGCAAGGCUCAGCUGAUGAAGGAUCCACUCCCCAGCUUACUGUAGUGUUGGAGGGUGCAGUUGCUUGCAGAUUGCUGAAUCGAAGGCCCAAUUCCAUCAUCAGCUAUUGCCAGAGUCUUUCCUCAUUCUUUUGUUACAUUACUUUGUAUCCUAUUGAGUAAAUGAAUACAGUAAAUUCUACCUGCACUAAUAAAUAGAGGAUUACACAAGGAAUCCAGAAGGUUGGAGGAUGCCUGCAGAUUAUUGGAGACACUCAGCCACAAAUCGCAAUCCAUGGAAUAACUGGAAAUUUCACACAAUGCUUGUGGAAAGUAAAAUAGUAUUAUCACUUUGUAAAAGACAUUUUGGCAGUUCCUUAUGAUUUUAAAUGUAUACCUACCAUAUAACUCAACAGACAUCAUUUUCUUGGCAUUUUCAUAGAAGAAAUAAAGGCACAAGUGCUGCUGCAAGAAAUUUUACAGUAGUUGUACGUACAAUAGACACAACUUGGAAACAACCCAAGCAGCCAUGGAUGUACAGAAGACGAAACAGUCUGUAGCAUGCUCACACUCAACAAAAAAUGCAAUGAACAACUGGUCUAUACAAGAUGAAUGAUGAAAAGAUUCUGAGUGAACUGGAAACUACAUUUUCACUCCCUUGACACUGGGAGGGAUUCUCCGACUGUCUUGAUGACGACAACAUGACACGAGGGGAUACUGGGUUAUUCCAAGGCCGAUAGAAGAGGAGAUGAUGCUUCUGCCUGCAUGUCUUUUUCACGUUACAUGAGUUUGCAAGUGAACCGUCAUGUCCUGAGCGAGCCGGGUCCACACAGACGCAAAGUUCAGGGAUUUUGCCUCAGAUUCAGAUCAAACUUCUCAGCCCAGCCAACAGUCAUGAUCAACAGCCAGCAGUUUUUACAAUGACAUACUUUAUUUCAUAAUCACAAGCUUGAUCUUCCACUGAAUAAACAAACAAAUAGUAAGUAUAAAAAUCAUUGUUGUUCAAGAGUAUAGACAAGGAUUGUAAACAACAGUCAAAUCUCAAAAUGUCAAUUUUACUCAUAUAAAUUAUAUUUUUGUGUUCUGUAUAUUAAUUACCACAAGUAAAGGAAACAUAUGAUAUCUGUAUUUUUGGGACUGGCUUAUUUCAGUAAGCAUAAUCGUUCCAAGUUGCAUACAUUUUGUUGCAAAAUACAGGAUUUAACUCUUUUUAAUGGCUGAGUAGUAUUCCAUGGUGUAUAUAUAUCCCAUUUUCUUUAUCCAGUCAUUGGUUGAUGGUCAACUGGGUAGAUUGCAUAUCUUAGCUCUUGUGAAUUGAGCUGCAAUAAACAUGAAGGUACAAAUAACUCUUUCAUAUGCUGAUUUAAUUUCAUUUGGGUAAAUUCCCAGGAAUUCAUGGCUGGGUAACAUGGUAGGUCUAUUUUCAGAUUUCUGAGGAUGUCUUCCAUAUUGGUACUACUGUAAUAGAGGGCAGCAUAUGUGCGAUAGUUGAACAUCAAAUUUGACUUUAAUUCAGCUGCCAGCCAAAUGAAUAGGAUAUAUUUACUUAGGUCAACAAUGGUUUUACAAAACCAAGUAUAUACAAGUUCAGUGUCAAUGUCUCACUGUAUACACAUAUUAAUGUAUCUUGAUGUCAGGUGUCCAUUUUGGAGUCAACAUGAGGGUUUAAGGAAUGUCAGAGAUUCCUUCUCAGCUUUUUGGCUAAGAUCAAGUGUGGGAAUAUCACAAAUGCAGAUGAUGGGGUUCCAAGUACAAGACAAUGGGUCAGAAAAGCCUAAAUGAUGUAUGCAGAGAAAAGAUAAGCUAAAAAAGGAGAACUAGGAUUGACCUGAAAUACCUGUUUGUGGUAACUGUUGGUAAGUGCUAUAAACUGAUCAGUGUAUUAUAAAGUGUCAGUGAUAUAUAUAUAUAUAUAUAGUAAAAAUUGUGUGAAUGUCAUACUAUUUGGUAUAGAUAUAUAAAAAUGUCUACACUGAAUUGUACCCCUUAACCAAAAAACUUUCUCUCCCAAGUUUUAUGAUUUUUUUCAUGAAUUCCACAUUAUGUAAUAUUAAUAUACCUAUCUCUUUGAAAAAUAAUAUGCAUGUAUGCAUAUGGUUACAUAUGAAGCAAAUAUAGCAACAUGCUAAAAAUUGUUAUAUCUAUGAAUGCUCAUGGAAUCUUUCUUUGUACUUUUCUAUAUUAUUUGUGAUAUUUAAAAAUAAAAAAUUUAAAAGAAAGGUUAGUCUUUCUAAGGAAUAAAAGAAAACUGAGGCAUAACAUCUUUAAUAAUGUUCUUCCUCUGUGUCACUUUUUUAUAUAUUAGUUUUAUAGAUUAGAUGCUUCUUUUCAAUAAUUGAGUACAACAGUGAUUAUUAUCAUCUUAUUUUACUGGGAAUAACAGAGUAUUUGUGGCUUCUGUGACAUAGCUACUGUCACACCUGAGAAAGUCACAGAUUAAUGUUCAGGACAGUGGUUCAUGUUCUAUAUCCAUUCCUUCUUCUUUUACCCUCUUUGCUAUUCUUAUCUUCUCAUGCCUUGGCAACUCAUGACAAGAGCCUAGGGUGAUUACUGAUGCCAUAAACAGGAGUGUCAAUUUGUUAAGUCAACAACAGGAGUCACUGUGCACUUACUCCUCAUGUAGGAUCUCUGUCCUUAAUGUGUGGUACAGUGUGAUUUAAUGCUACAACUAGUACUCAAACAGUAUUUUUCACUUUGUGUUUCUAUGUGGGUGCAAACUGUUGAAAUCUUUACUUAAUAUAUGCUAAACUGAUCUUCUGUAUAUAAAGAGAAUUGAAAGUGAAUCUUGAUGUGAAUGGAAGGGGAGAGGGGAAG
Molecule: non-coding RNA, 4989 nt
Organism: Oryctolagus cuniculus (rabbit)
Lineage: Eukaryota; Metazoa; Chordata; Mammalia; Lagomorpha; Leporidae
Source: RefSeq, a predicted model, not a curated record